Molecule: ribosomal RNA, 253 nt
Filed under: uncultured bacterium
Lineage: Bacteria
Description: partial 16S ribosomal RNA
Rfam family: Bacterial small subunit ribosomal RNA
Source: RNAcentral
UACGGGGGGGGCAAGCGUUGUUCGGAAUUACUGGGCGUAAAGGGCUCGUAGGCGGCCAACUAAGUCGGACGUGAAAUCCCCAGGCUCAACCUGGGAACUGCGUCCGAUACUGGAUGGCUUGAAUCCGGGAGAGGGAUGCAGAAUUCCAGGUGUAGCGGUGAAAUGCGUAGAUAUCUGGAGGAAUACCGGUGGCGAAGGCAGGUCUCUGGGCCGCAACUGACGCUGAGGAGCGAAAGCAUGGGGAGCGAACAGG